GAUGAACGCUGGCGGUGUGCCUAAUACAUGCAAGUCGAGCGAACAGACGAGGAGCUUACUCCUCUGACGUUAGCGGCGGACGGGUGAGUAACACGUGGAUAACCUACCUAUAAGACUGGGAUAACUUCGGGAAACCGGAGCUAAUACCGGAUAACAUGUUGAACCGCAUGGUUCAACAGUGAAAGACGGUCUUGCUGUCACUUAUAGAUGGAUCCGCGUCGCAUUAGCUAGUUGGUAAGGUAACGGCUUACCAAGGCAACGAUGCGUAGCCGACCUGAGAGGGUGAUCGGCCAUACUGGAACUGAGACACGGUCCAGACUCCUACGGGAGGCAGCAGUAGGGAAUCUUCCGCAAUGGGCGAAAGCCUGACGGAGCAACGCCGCGUGAGUGAAGAAGGUCUUCGGAUCGUAAAACUCUGUUAUUAGGGAAGAACAAAUGUGUAAGUAACUAUGCACGUCUUGACGGUACCUAAUCAGAAAGCCACGGCUAACUACGUG
This 497-nucleotide ribosomal RNA is filed under the name uncultured bacterium. RNAcentral describes it as "partial 16S ribosomal RNA". It matches the Rfam family "Bacterial small subunit ribosomal RNA", at positions 28 to 507 of the family's 1533-position model. The record is from RNAcentral.